UAGGGAAUCUUCGGCAAUGGACGAAAGUCUGACCGAGCAACGCCGCGUGAGUGAAGAAGGUUUUCGGAUCGUAAAACUCUGUUGUUAGAGAAGAACAAGGACGUUAGUAACUGAACGUCCCCUGACGGUAUCUAACCAGAAAGCCACGGCUAACUACGUGCCAGCAGCCGCGGUAAUACGUAGGUGGCAAGCGUUGUCCGGAUUUAUUGGGCGUAAAGCGAGCGCAGGCGGUUUCUUAAGUCUGAUGUGAAAGCCCCGGCUCAACCGGGGAGGGUCAAUGGAAACUGGGAGACUUGAGUGCAGAAGAGGAGAGUGGAAUUCCAUGUGUAGCGGUGAAAUGCGUAGAUAUAUGGAGGAACACCAGUGGCGAAGGCGGCUCUCUGGUCUGUAACUGACGCUGAGGCUCGAAAGCGUGGGGAGCAAACAGG
RNAcentral lists this ribosomal RNA (428 nucleotides) under Gemmatimonadota bacterium. RNAcentral describes it as "Gemmatimonadetes bacterium partial 16S ribosomal RNA". It matches the Rfam family "Bacterial small subunit ribosomal RNA", at positions 355 to 776 of the family's 1533-position model. Lineage: Bacteria; Pseudomonadati; Gemmatimonadota. The record is from RNAcentral.